Molecule: ribosomal RNA, 331 nt
Filed under: uncultured Lachnospiraceae bacterium
Lineage: Bacteria; Bacillati; Bacillota; Clostridia; Lachnospirales; Lachnospiraceae
Description: bacterial SSU rRNA
Rfam family: Bacterial small subunit ribosomal RNA
Source: RNAcentral
GAUGAACGCUGGCGGCGUGCUUAACACAUGCAAGUCGAACGAGCUGCACGGACGGAAAUUUUCGGAUGGAAGACUGUGUACGCGAGUGGCGGACGGGUGAGUAACGCGUGGGGAACCUGCCCUGUUCCGGGGGAUACCAGUUGGAAACGACUGUUAAUACCGCAUAAGCGCACGGUACCGCAUGGUACAGUGUGAAAAACUACCGGUGGAACGGGAUGGCCCCCGCGUCUGAUUAGGCAGUUGGCGGGGUAACGGCCCACCAAACCGACGAUCAGUAGCCGACCUGAGAGGGUGACCGGCCACAUUGGGACUGAGACACGGCCCAAACUCC